AUUUUAUUUUUAUGCUGAAUUUUUUCUUCUUUUGCAAUUUCAGUACGAUACAUGCAAUGUCAAUUCUAUUAAUAACUUACUAAGGAUUCUUGAGACUGUAAUUUUCCAAAGUUGCUGUACACAAACAGUGAACGAUUAAAAUAUUGGCUAUAUUGUCUUGUAUAAAUAAAAAUUUCGUAGUUUCACUCAUUCUUCUGCAGAAAAAAAAACUCAUCACUUGGGUUUCUGGGAAAAAAAUGGCCUUUCAAGAUUUAACUGAAGGCCAGUGUGGCGGGCCAAGUUCAUUGAUACGCCUCACAACACACUUUGUACAAGAUCAUGGUUUCAAAGAUGAAGGCUUUCAACAUACUUUUGGACAUGCUGAACAAUUUGAACCAACCAAUUCAGAACAACUAGUGAAACAGUUUCUCGAAGAAAGUGCUGUACACCCCCAGACUUUUCGUAUGGAUAAUCUUCUCCAGGGAAUGUGUGAGAUUGAACACACUGUGAAUCCUCCAGUUUCUGCACCUGGUGUCAUUAGAGAGAUUACUGGAUUAGAUACUGCUUGGGCAAAUCAGUAUUUGGAAUCUGGACGCCACUUUGAUGAAAAUCAUGCAGAUGAUAUUUGGAAUUCUCAAGUAGAUUCAAUUAUUCCACAAGGACAAGUUGUUGACGAAACCCACGAGUUUGGGCUAGGACCAAAAUGGGCAGAGGAAUACUUAGAGCAUAGUGUCGACAACUUGGAAAAUGAUGACGAUAAAACUUGUUUCCCACAAAGGCUCGAUAAUUCUUCAAGCGAAGAUGCAAAUGUCGCUUAUUCAAAAUUCAUGAAAUUUAUGAAACAGGAAGGCGAUAUCCCGAUUGAAUCCAGUCAAGAUUUAAGCCAAAUUGACGAUAAAUGGAGUGAAGAGUAUUUGGAGGAUACGAAAAACGAAGAUAGAUCUAUCGCAAAGGAAGAUGUCCUUAAUAAGGUUGAAGAAGAAUUGGCAGUAGCUGGAAAGUGGGUUGAAGAGUUUUCGAAAGAAUCUUCUAAAACUAAAGAUGGCGAUAAUUAUGAAGCAACUUUUUGGAAUCGUCUGCAAGAGGAAUGGGAAAAAGUGACAGCAUCAGAAGAAGUUUCAGCGCCACAUCCUUGGAUUUCAGAAUAUGCAAAGUACUAUGAUCCGUUUAAAGAGUACACUUUCCAUAAUGAAAAUCCAAUGAAAGAUAUAUCAGAACCGUUAGAAGAAGGCAAACGAAGGCUUGAAGCUGGAGAUUUACCGAGUGCAGUGUUGUGCUUUGAAGUCGCAGUGCAACAAGAGCCGAAAAAUGCUAAUGCUUGGUUAUUACUUGGAAAGACCCAGGCAGAAAAUGAACAAGAUCCUUUGGCCAUAUCAGCACUAAAGGAAUGCCUUACACUUGACCCAUCAAACUCUACGGCUCUUAUGGCUUUGGCAGUAUCCUAUACCAAUGAAUCUUAUCAGAAUCAGGCUUGUCUUACGCUCAAAGAAUGGUUAUUAAAAAACGAGAAAUACAAACAUCUUGUGCAAAAUAGGAUACAAGGCGCUCGAUAUACGGAAUCUGGAGUCUCCACCGUUUUAUUUCAUGAUAUCCAUAAUGAAGUGCGUGAGCUUUUCAUUGAAGCUGCAAGAAUGAAUCCUCAUGAAACAAUUGACCCUGAUGUUCAGUGUGGACUUGGCGUUCUCUUCAAUCUCUCCAGUGAAUAUGACAAAGCUGCUGAUUGUUUUCGUACUGCAUUGCAAGUUAUUCCUGAUGAUUCAAGACUGUGGAAUAGACUUGGUGCUACACUUGCUAAUGGCCAAAGUUCUGAAGAAGCUGUGGAUGCAUAUCACGAAGCUUUGAAACUUUCUCCAGGUUUUAUUAGAGCUCGCUACAAUCUUGGUAUUUCUUGCAUUAACUUGGGAGCGUAUAAUCAAUACUUAUGAACAGGACAUGAUGAUAGAAAAGAAUUCAAGCACCAAAAAACUUUAUUUUUUACAAGCUACGCAAAUAUUGACAACGAGAGCGAACGAAAGAUAUAUCUGGCACUUUGUCUAUUUAAAAAUAAAAGUUUUAUCAGUUUAUGGAGUCAGAUACCUAUAUGCAUCAUAUUUGUCAGCUCAAUCAACGAAAACCAAGACACAAAUAAAGAUAGUGAUAAUCGCUACCAAAUAUAUAAAUCGACUGCGCAUACUAAUAUUCUACGUGUACAACACGCAAAAUGGCAAAUGCAACGUUACAAAUGAUAAUUUGUGGUAGUUACAGACAAAUUUUGGUACCUUAUUUCUUUUUGUAUACUAUUUUAUUUGAUUAUGAGUUGUUUUCCUCUCUCAUUCUGCCAAGUGCGCUGAUAAUUCUUACAGUUGUACGUAUAAAUACGUUACUCUCGCUUGCCGAGUAUUCGACAGAGAAGUUACGCACGCGUGUUGAAUUUUGCGUACAAUCCAAGAAAAAUGUGCAUAAACCCCGUGAACGUUAUUCAACCUCUAUCUACAAUAAUAAAUGUUAUGAAUUUGUCUCAAACGUCAAUCAUUGAACUCGGAAACUGAUCAUAGAAGAUAUGCGUUAACCGCAGGAAACAGAAUUUCAAAAGAGGUUUGAUUUUCUAUUACCGUACGAAAUUCACGAAGUAUAAAUCGUAGAAGAUAACAGUUGAGAGGAAUGGUACUUACAACCCGAUACUAACUGCAACCCGAACUAAAUCCAGAUAGAAGCUGGCGAACAUCUGCUUACUGCACUCAAUCAACAAGCUGCAAGUCAUGAUGCAUAUGGCAGAAAUGGAACACCCAUGACCAUGUCAGAUACAAUAUGGUCCACACUUAGGCUAGUUAUUUCUUUGAUGCAU
Molecule: RNA transcript, 2803 nt
Organism: Cephus cinctus (wheat stem sawfly)
Lineage: Eukaryota; Metazoa; Arthropoda; Insecta; Hymenoptera; Cephidae
Gene: Pex5
Gene name: peroxisomal targeting signal 1 receptor
Exons: 8
Source: RefSeq, a predicted model, not a curated record